CCGAAUAAACGGGCCUCGAUCCCGCAAAAACCUAGUUAACAGCUAAGCGCCCAAUCCAGCGGGCUUCUAUCCGGGCAAUAAAAAAA
RNAcentral lists this transfer RNA (86 nucleotides) under Chalcides ocellatus. Its description in RNAcentral is "tRNA-Asn". The record is from RNAcentral. Lineage: Eukaryota; Metazoa; Chordata; Lepidosauria; Squamata; Scincidae.